Molecule: ribosomal RNA, 235 nt
Filed under: uncultured bacterium
Lineage: Bacteria
Description: partial 16S ribosomal RNA
Rfam family: Bacterial small subunit ribosomal RNA
Source: RNAcentral
UACGAAGGGGGCUAGCGUUGCUCGGAAUCACUGGGCGUAAAGGGUGCGUAGGCGGGUCUUUAAGUCAGGGGUGAAAUCCUGGAGCUCAACUCCAGAACUGCCUUUGAUACUGAAGAUCUUGAGUUCGGGAGAGGUGAGUGGAACUGCGAGUGUAGAGGUGAAAUUCGUAGAUAUUAGGAAGAAACACCAGUGGCGAAGGCGGCUCACUGGCCCGAUACUGACGCUGAGGCACGAA